RNAcentral lists this ribosomal RNA (259 nucleotides) under uncultured bacterium. RNAcentral describes it as "partial 16S ribosomal RNA". It matches the Rfam family "Bacterial small subunit ribosomal RNA", at positions 95 to 354 of the family's 1533-position model. The record is from RNAcentral.
UUGGCGGACGGGUGAGUAACGCGUGGGUAACCUGCCCUAUACUGGGGGAUAACAGCUAGAAAUGGCUGCUAAUACCGCAUGAGCGCACAGUCCCGCAUGGGACAGUGCGGAAAACUCCGGUGGUAUAGGAUGGACCCGCGUCCGAUCAGCUGGUUGGUGGGGUAACGGCCCACCAAGGCGACGAUCGGUAGCCGACCUGAGAGGGUGACCGGCCACAUUGGGACUGAGACACGGCCCAAACUCCUACGGAAGGCAGCAG